AGCGGAGGAAAAGAAACCAACAGGGAUUGCCCUAGUAACGGCGAGUGAAGCGGCAAGAGCUCAAAUUUGAAAUCUGGCUCCUCCGGGGCCCGAGUUGUAAUUUGCAGAGGAUGCUUCGGGUGCGGUCCCCAUCUAAGUGCCCUGGAACGGGCCGUCAUAGAGGGUGAGAAUCCCGUCUGGGAUGGGCGGCCGUGCCCGUGUGAAGCUCCUUCGACGAGUCGAGUUGUUUGGGAAUGCAGCUCUAAAUGGGUGGUAAAUUUCAUCUAAAGCUAAAUAUUGGCCGGAGACCGAUAGCGCACAAGUAGAGUGAUCGAAAGAUGAAAAGCACUUUGAAAAGAGAGUUAAACAGCACGUGAAAUUGUUGAAAGGGAAGCGCUUGCGACCAGACUCGCCUGCGGGGGUUCAGCCGGUACUCGUACCGGUGUACUCCCCCGUGGGCGGGCCAGCGUCGGUUUGGGCGGCCGGUCAAAGGCCCCCGGAAUGUGUCGCCUCUCGGGGCGUCUUAUAGCCGGGGGUGCAAUGCGGCCAGCCUGGACCGAGGAACGCGCUUCGGCACGGACGCUGGCGUAAUGGUCGUAAGCGGCCCGUCUUGAAACACGGACCAAGGAGUCUAACAUCUACGCGAGUGUUCGGGUGUCAAACCCGUCCGCGCAGUGAAAGCGAACGGAGGUGGGAGCCUUUCGGGGUGCACCAUCGACCGAUCCUGAUGUCUUCGGAUGGAUUUGAGUAAGAGCGUAGCUGUUGGGACCCGAAAGAUGGUGAACUAUGCCUGAAUAGGGCGAAGCCAGAGGAAACUCUGGUGGAGGCUCGCAGCGGUUCUGACGUGCAAAUCGAUCGUCAAAUUUGGGUAUAGGGGCGAAAGACUAAUCGAACCAUCUGGUAGCUG
This 886-nucleotide ribosomal RNA is filed under the name Paecilomyces niveus. RNAcentral describes it as "LSU rRNA". It matches the Rfam family "Eukaryotic large subunit ribosomal RNA", at positions 49 to 953 of the family's 3401-position model. Lineage: Eukaryota; Fungi; Ascomycota; Eurotiomycetes; Eurotiales; Thermoascaceae. The record is from RNAcentral.